AGCCUGAACGCUGGCGGCGUGGCUAAGACAUGCAAGUCGUACGGGUGUAGCAAUACACCAGUGGCGAACGGGUGAGUAAUGUAUCGCUAACGUGCCCCUAUGUCUGGGAUAGCCAUCCGAAAGGAUGGGUAAUACCGGAUGAGACCACAAUCCCGCAUGGGAUGGUGCUCAAAGGAGUAAUCCGCAAAGGGAGCGGGCGAUAUCGUAUCAGCUAGUUGGUGAGGUAACGGCUCACCAAGGCGACGACGCGUAGCCGGGCUGAGAGGUCGGCCGGCCACAUUGGGACUGAGACACUGCCCAGACUCCUACGGGGGGCUGCAGUAACGAAUCUUCCGCAAUGCACGAAGUGUGACGGAGCGACGCCGCGUGGAGGACGAAGUUCUCGGAAUGUAACUCCUGUCAGGGGCAACCAAGUUCUGAGGUGCCCCAGAGGAAGGCACGGCUAACUCUGCGCCAGCAGCCGCGU
Molecule: ribosomal RNA, 466 nt
Filed under: uncultured bacterium
Lineage: Bacteria
Description: SSU rRNA
Rfam family: Bacterial small subunit ribosomal RNA
Source: RNAcentral